CACCAAUCAAAUACUAGUGUGCCCCGCAGUCAUGCAUCGUCUGUUUUGCUGGAUAAUGGUGGUUAUUGUUUACGUUAUUAGUAGCCUGAGAGUGUCGUUGAGAUUUGAAACCUCUGAAUAUCUAUACUCUUCCAAUCUUUGUAGCAAAUGGAUUGUUUGGUAUUGUUGUUUUCGCCCCAUGAGAUUUCCUAGAUGUUGCUGUUUUCUCCCAUCAUGUUUUUGUUGUCGCCAGGAAUUUACGCUUCUAGAUCCAGCUCUCACGCAAGUCAAGCGUGCAAGCUAGUUAAAGCACAUUGAUCCGCUGAGUCUCGGCGUGAUAUAAAUUGAAGAAGAGGCAAACUGAGAUUAUCGAACGGGAAGUAAACAUGGCGGAGGCUUGCGCCAAACACCUCCCCAGCGCUGCUACCCUUAGAGGAGUGCUGGUCAAUAGCAACAUUACAUACCGGUUCAGGUGUUUGCUAACAUUGCAGUUUAAGCAAAGGCGAGGUUUUCUCUGCCUAUUUCGCUGGUUACAGAGGAUCUAACACCUCACCAUCAUGCGAUCCGACAGUUUCUGGACAUCCAAAUCGAAACAUUUGGGCCAUCAGAAUAUCUUCUAUUUCCACGUUGGAAUUUUUAGUUUAAACCGAUGGCGAGCUGCAUUCCAGAAAUUGGUAGGUUGCAUCUAUUUUGGGGUCUUUUCAUAUGUGACUCAGUUGGACUUGACUGAGUAAAUGUAUGCCAAAAACGCAUGUUUGGCUACCGUAGCUACCGUUGACUUGCUUGCGCUCUGGGUGAGAACCUAGACCCAGUUUCCCGGUUCGGACGAUGGCGGCGCUAGUGUCGCUCUCCCUCAUGGGGGCAUCGUUUUUGGAGCAGCUGCCGGAUGGGGAAGACAAAAGGUGGAGCGGUGUUUCAUUUACCGCAUCGAAGACGACGGAUCUCGGUGGCAUGGCGCAGCAGGGUCUUGGCGGCAGAGGUGUGAUGAUGGACGCGCAGGGAGGUGGUGUUGUUUGGCACUGUGGUAGCGUCGACGCCAGUCCUGGCAAAGUCGAUGCGUCUGUACAUGCUCUGAAGAUGGAUCGGUGGAUGAUGGUGGUGGCGGCCUCUGAGGGUGCGCCAGACCGGUGUGACCUAGUCCCGGCAGUGGUCUGGCUGGGCCAUCCGGCUUUAGAUGUUAGGCUUUGGUGCGAUGUCUGUUUGGUAUUCUGCUCGGACAUUGGGCACCCUUCAUCAUGGGGAUAGGAGUAGCGACAGGUGUUGCUAAGUUGAUGGCUUCAGGCUUACUGAUGUAUUACUUUGUAAGAUCUUUGUGAAUAAUUAAUAAAAUGGCUGCAUCAUCGUCCAGAUGUAGAGGCCGGGGGUAUAUCUUUUUUUCUAAAAAAGGAAAAUGCAUGUUCUGCACCUUGUUUGGUAACCUACAUAUAGGCUAGCUGCAUCAGGUAACCAAUUUUUCCCUGAUGUUUGAUGGCAUGCGUUGGGCAUGGCGUAAUUUGUGAUCAUCCCUUCUCACUAGUGGUGACCUUACCGCACACGAUCAAAACAUCAUUUCAGUCCUAGCUAGUACAUGAAUGGUAGUUCAUCUUAACUACUAACAAAUAGGAUAGGAAUUAACAGUCAUAUGGCUCAACAGGGAAAAGUUCAUCGAUGCCGAACUAGGCGAAAGUCCAUCCUCUUCUUAUACACCUACUACUAAAAUUGCCUUUUAGCAUCUCAAAGAAGCACCUGCUGCAGCUCCAAUGCUAGCUCUACCAGACUUCAAGAAACAUUUUGUUGUAGAAACAAAUACUAGCAACAAAGAGAUUGGAGUUGUGCUUAUGCAUGAGGGUCACCCUCUCUCACCUCGGCAAAGCUCUGGCCCUAAGAGCAUCUCCAUCCGCGCCCCAACAGGCCCCCAGGCCCCUUUUUCGGCGCCGGCGCCCAAAAAAGGCCCAGACGUGCCCCCAAAAGCGCAUUUUUGGCCGGUUAGGCCCAAAACUGGCGCCGGCAGACCAAGGCCAAACCCGGCGCGUGAUACGUCUCCAACGUAUCUACUUUUCCAAAUACUUUUGCCCUUGUUUUGGACUCUAACUUGCAUGAUUUUAAUGGAACUAACCUGGACUGACGUUGUUUUCAGUAGAAUUGCCAUGGUGUUAUUUUUGUGUAGAAUAAAAGUUCUCGGAAUGACCUGAAACUUCAUGGAGUCACGUUUUGGAAUUAAUAAAAAAUAUUGGCGAAAGAAUCAACAGAAGGGGGCCCACACCCUGUCCACGAGGGUGCAGGGCGCGCCCCCUGCCUCGUGGGUCCCCUGGACCUCCACCGACCUCAACUCCAACUCUAUAUAUUCAUGUCCGGGGAGAAAAAAUAUCAGAGAGAAGGAUUCAUCGCGUUUUACGAUACAGAGCCGCCGCCAAGCCCCGUUCUUCCUUGGGAGGGCAGAUCUGGAGUCCGUUCGGGGCUCCGGAGAGGGGAAUCCGUCGCCAUCGUCAUCAUCAACCAUCCUCCAUCACCAAUUUCAUGAUGCUAACCGCCGUGCGUGAGUAAUCCCAUCGUAGGCUUGCUGGACGGCGAUGGGUUGGAUGAGAUUUACCAUGUAAUCGAGUUAGUUUUGUUAGGGUUUGAUCCCUAGUAUCCACUAUGUUCUAAGAUUGAUGUUGCUAUGAUUUUGCCAUGCUUAAUGCUUGUCACUAGGGUCCAAGUGCCAUGAUUUCAGAUCUGAACCUAUUAUGUUUUCAUGAAUAUAUGAGUGUCCUUGAUACUAUCUUGCAAGUUAUAGUCACCUACUACGUGUUAUGAUCCAGCAAGCCCCGGAGUGACAAUAGUCGGGACACUUCCCGGUGAUGACCGUAGUUUGAGAAGUUCAUGUAUUCACUAAGUGCUAAUGCUUUGGUCCGGUUCUCUAUUAAAAGGAGGCCUUAAUAUCCCUUAGUUUCCAAUAGGACCCGCUGCCACAGGAGGGUAGGACAAAAGAUGUCAUGCAAGUUCUUUCCCAUAAGCACGUAUGACUAUAUUUAGAAUACAUGCCUACAUUAUAUUGAAUAACUGGAGCUAGUUCUGUGUCACCCUAUGUUAUAACUGUUGCAUGAUGAAUGCCAUCUGACAUAAUUAUCCAUCAUUGAUCCAUUGCCUACGAGCUUUUCAUAUAUUGAUCUUUGCUAAGUUACUUCUCCGUUGCCACUGUUACGAUUGCUACAAAACUGCUACUGUUACUUUUGCCACUGUUACCGUUGUUUCCAUACUAGUUUGCUACUAAAUACUUUGCUGCAGAUAUUAAGUCUUUCAGGUGUGGUUGAAUUGACAACUCAGCUGCUAAUACUUGAGAAUAUUCUUUGACUCUCCUUGUGUCGAAUCAAUAAAUUUGGGUUGAAUACUCUACCCUCGAGAACUAUUGCGAUCCCCUAUACUUGUGGGUUAUUAAGACUUUUUUCUGGCGCCGUUGCCGGGGAGCAUAGCUCUGUUCUUUGAGUCACUUGGGAUUUAUAUCUGUUGAUCACUAUGAGGAAUUUGAAAGAUCAAAGAACCCAGAUUUUUCCCUCAACUACGAGGGGAGGUAAGGAACUGCCAUCUAGCUCCGCACUUGAUUCACCUUCUGUUUUGAGUAAACUUGCGACACCUACACCUGCUAUUGAUUCUGAUAUGUCGCAUGUUAUUGAUGAUGCCACUUCUGCUAUGCAUGAUGCUUAUGAUGAUAGUACUUCUCUGCUUGAUAAUACUGUGCCAUUAGGUGAAUUUCUUGAUGAACAACUUGCUAGGGUUAGAGAGAAUGAAAUUAUUGAAAUUGAUGAUAUUAAUGAAAGUGAUGAUGAAGAUUCUCCCCCUAGAUAUGAAUUUCUUGUUGUACCUGAGGGUUAUGUUAUGGAUGAAGAAACUGCUAGAGACUACCUUGCUUGCAAUGAUAGAUAUGAUCUUAAGAAACUGUUAGCUGAUACGUCCAUUUUGCAUCAUGCUUUAUAUCGAUAUUUAUUGCAUUAUGGGAUGUUACUACACAUUAUGUUACAAUACUUAUGCCUUUUCUAUCUUAUUUUACAAGGUUUACACGAAGAGGGAGAAUGCCGACAGCUGGAAUUCUAGGCUGGAAAAGGAGCAAAUAUUAGAGACCUAUCCUGCACAACUCCAAAAGUCCUGAAACUCCACAAAAGUCAGUUUUGGAAUAUAUUAAAAAUAUUGGAUGAAGAAAGCACCAGAGGGGGGCCACCCACCGUCCACGAGGGUGGAGGGCGCACCCUACCCCCCUAGGCGCGCCCCCUGUCUCGUGGGCCACCUGGCAACCCCCGAUGCCCAUCUUCUGCUAUUUGGUGUCUUUUACCCUGAAAAAAUCAUAAGGAAGCAUUCGGGAGGAAGCACCUCCGUCUCGAGGCGGAACCUUGGUGGAACCAAUCUAGGGCUCCGGCGGAGCUGUUCUGCCGGGGAAACAUCCCUCUGGGAGGGGGAAAUCAUCUCCAUCGUCAUCACCAUCGAUCCUCUCAUCGAGAGGGGGUCAAUCUCCAUCUACAUCUUCACCAGCACCAUCUCCUCUCAAACCCUAGUUCAUCUCUUGUAUCGAUCUUUGUCUCAAAACCCCAGAUUGGUACCUGUGGGUUGCUAGUAGUGUUGAUUACUCCUUGUAGUUGAUGCUAGUUGGUUUACUCGAUGGAAGAUCAUAUGUUCAGACCCUUUAUGCAUAUAAUACCCCUCUGAUUUUGAACAUGAAUAUGAUUUGUGAGUAGUUACGUUUGUUCCUGAGGACAUGGGAGAAGUCUUGUUAUAAGUAGUCAUGUGAAUUUGGUAUUCUUUCGAUAUUUUGAUGAGAUGUAUGUUGUCUUUCCUCUAGUGGUGUUAUGUGAAGUCGACUACAUGACACUUCACCGUUGUUUGGGCCUAGGGGAAGGCAUUGGGAAGUAAUAAGUAGAUGAUGGGUUGCUAGAGUGACAGAAGGUUAACCCUAGUUUAUGCGUUGCUUCGUAAGGGGCUGAUUUGGAUCCACAUGUUUCAUGCUAUGGUUAGGUUUACCUUAAUUCUUCUUUCGUAGUUGGGGAUGCUUGCGAGAGGGGUUAAUCAUAAGUGGGAUGCUUGUCCAAGGAAGGGAAGUACCCAAGCACCCGUCCACCCACAUAUCAAAUUAUCAAAGUAAUGAACGCGAAUCAUAUGAGCAUGACGAAAACUAGCUUGGCGAUAAUUCCCAUGUGUCCUCCAGAGCGCUUUGCUUUAUAUAAGAGUUUGUCCAGGCUUGUCCUUUGCUACAAAAAGGAUUGGGCCACCUUGCUGCACCUUAUUUACUUUUGUUACUUGUUACCCGUUACGAAUUAUCUUAUCACAAAACUAUUUGUUACCGAUAAUUUCAGUGCUUGCAGAGAAUACCUUACUGAAAACCACUUGUCAUUUCCUUCUACUCUUGGUUGGGUUUGACACUCUUACUUAUCAAAAGGACUACGAUAUGUCCCCUAUACUUGUGGGUCAUCAAGACUCUUUUCUGGCGCCAUUGCCGGGGAGUAAAGCGCCUUUGGUAGGUGGAAUUUGGUAAGGAAAAAUUUAUAUUGUGUGCUGAAAUUUAUUGUCACUUGUUACUAUGGAAAAUAAUCCUUUGAGGGGCUUGUUCGGGGUAUCUUCACCCUGACCAGAAGAGCAAAGAGUUGCUCCUCAACCUACUAAACUACUGAAAAUAUUCACUUUGAAAUUCCUUCGGGUAUGAUAGAUAAACUGCUAGCUAAUCCCUAUACAGGAGAUGGAACGUUACAUCCCGAUAUGCACCUAAUCUAUGUGGAUGAAGUUUGUGGAUUAUUUAAGCUUGCAGGUAUGCCCGAGGAUGUUAUCAAGAAGAAGGUCUUCCCUUUAUCUUUGAAGGGAAAGGCAUUGACAUGGUUUAGGCUAUGUGAUGAUAUUGGAUCAUGGAACUACAACCGAUUGAAAUUGGAAUUUCAUCAGAAGUUUUAUCCUAUGCAUCUGGUUCAUCAUGAUCGUAAUUAUAUAUACAAUUUUUGGCCUCGUGAAGGAGAAGUAUCGCUCAACCUUGGGGGAGGCUUAAGUCAAUGUUAUAUUCAUGCCCCAAUCAUGACCUCUCAAGAGAAAUUAUUAUUCAAAAAUUUUAUGCUCGACUUUCUCUUAAUAAUCGCUCCAUGCUCGAUACUUCUUGUACCGGUUCUUUUAUGAUGAAGACUAUUGAAUUCAGAUGGGAUUUAUUGGAAAGAAUUAAACGCAACUCUGAAGAUUGGGAACUCGACGAAGGUAAGGAGUCAGGUAUAACACCUAAGUUUGAUUGUGUUAAAUCUUUUAUGGAUACCGAUGCUUUUCGUGAAUUUAGCACUAAAUAUGGACUUGACUCUGAGAUAGUAGCUUCUUUCUGUGAAUCAUUUGCUACUCAUGUUGAUCUCCCUAAGGAUAAGUGGUUUAAAUAUCAUACUCCCAUUGAAGUAAAAGUAGUAGAACCUAUUAAAGUUGAAGAAAAGACUAUCACUUAUAAUGUUGAUCCUAUUGUUCCUACCGCUUAUAUUGAGAAACCACCCUUUCCUGUUAGAAUAAAGGAUCAUGCUAAAGCUUCAACUGUGGUUCGUAAGAAUAAUGCUAGAACACCCAUGAUACGUCUCACAUAUCUAUAAUUUUUGAUUGUUCCAUGCUAUUAUAUUACCCCUUUUGGAUGUUUAUGGGCUUUAUUUUACACAUUUAUAUCAUUUUUGGGACUAACCUACUAACCGGAGGCCCAGCCCGUAUUGUUGUUUUUUUGUGCCUAUUUUAGUAUUUCGAAGAAAAGGAAUAUCAAACGGAGUCCAAACGGAAGGAAACCUUCGGGAGCGUGAUUUUUGGAACGAACGUGAUCCGGAGAACUUGGAGUGCAAGUCAAGAAGCUUGCGAGGCGGCCAGGAGACAGGAGGGCGCGCCCACCCCCUGGGCACAUCCCUAUCUCCUGGGCCCCACAGGCGGCCACCGACGUACUUCUUCUUCCUAUAUAUACCUACGUACCCCGAAAACAUCCAGGGAGCCAACGAAACACAAUUUCCACCACCGUAACCUUCUGUAUCCGCGAGAUCCCAUCUUGGAGCCUUCGCCGGCGCUCCGCCGGAGGGGGAAUCGACCACGGAGGGCGUCUACAUCAACACCAUAGCCCCUCCGAUGAGUUGUGAGUAAUUUACCACAGACCUUCGGGUCCAUAGUUAUUAGCUACAUGGCUUCUUCUCUCUUUUUGGAUCUCAAUACAAUGUCCCCCCCCUCUCUUGUGGAGAUCUAUUCGAUGUAAACUCUUUUUGUGGUGUGUUUGUCGAGAUCCGAUGAAUUGUGGGUUUAUGAUCAAGUUUAUCUAUGAGAAAUAUUUGAAUCUCCUCUGAAUUCUUUUAUGUAUGAUUGAGUUAUCUUUGCAAGUCUCUUCGAAUUAUAAGUUUGGUUUGGCCUACUAGAUUGAUCUUUCUUGCCAUGGGAGAAGUGCUUAGCUUUGGGUUUAAUCUUGCAAUGUCCUUUCCCAGUGAUAGCAGGGGAAGCAAGGCACAUAUUGUAUUGUUGCCAUCGAGGAUAAAAAGAUGGGGUUUAUAUCAUAUUGCUUGAGUUUAUCCCUCUACAUCAUGUCAUCUUUCUUAAUGCGUUACUCUGUUCUUUAUGAACUUAAUACUCUAGAUGCAGGCAGGAGUCGGUCGAUGUGUGGAGUAAUAGUAGUAGAUGCAGGCAGGAGUCGGUCUACUUGUUGCGGACAUGAUGCCUAUAUACAUGAUCAUGCCUAGAUAAUCUCAUAAUUAUUUGCUUUUCUAUCAAUUGCUCGACAGUAAUUUGUUCACCCACCGUAAUACUUAUGCUAUCUUGAGAGAAGCCACUAGUGAAACCUAUGGCCCCCGGGUCUAUCUUUUAUCAUAUAAUCUUUCAAUCUACUUUUAUUUGCAUCUUUACUUUUUGCAUCUAUAUUAUAAAAUACCAAAAAUAUAUUUAUAUUAUCAUAUUAUCUCUAUCAGAUCUCACUUUUGCAAGUGGCCGUAGGGAUUGACAACCCCUUUAUCGCGUUGGUUGCGAGUUCUUUAUUUGUUUGUGUAGGUGCGUGGGACUUUUGAGGAGCCUCCUACUGGAUUGAUACCUUGGUUCUCAAAAACUGAGGGAAAUACUUAUGCUACUAUUGCUGCAACACCCUUUCCUCUUCAAGGAAAACCAACGCAAGCUCAAGACGUAGCAAGAAGGUUUUCUGGCACCGUUGUCGGGGAGGUCUUCACUCAAGUCAAGACAUACCAAGUACCCAUCACAAACUCAUCUCCCUCGCAUUUACAUUAUUUGCCAUUUGCCUCUCGUUUUCCUCUCCCCCACUUCAUCCUUGCCGUUUUAUUUGCCCUCUCUUUCCCAAUCUCCUCCUCUCUCUUUCGCUUGCCUUUUUUGCUCGUGUGUUAGAUCGUUUACCUUGUCAUUAUGGCUAGUCCUCCUAUCCUUGUUAUCACUCCCGAACAUGAAAUUCUCAAUUUUAAGCAAAGGGAGGGAGAGAAUUUAAAAGAUGCUUGGCAUAUAAUUUGCAAUGCUCAAAAUAGAUCUACUAGGAAGGUUUCUACUUCCGUUCUUCUUCGCAAUUUUUAUGUAGGCAUUACUCCUUGGAAUAGAUGUGUUCUUGAUACCAUUGUCGGAGGGGAUUUCUUGAGUAGCCAUACAUUUGAUGCUUAUAAUGCUAUGUUAGAUUUGUUUGGCCCACCACCUCUUUUGGUUAAUGGAACUACUUUAACUUUAGAACACGUUAUGCAACGGCUUGAGAUUAUUGAAAAUAAAAUUGCCACUGUUGAGUUGAUUGAAAAUUUGGAUAAAAAUAUUCAUAAUCACAUCACCCAAUAUGGAUCUAUGGUUGGAGUUACUUUGAAAAAUCUUAUAGAGAAAGAACCUAUAGUUAAUGAAAAAUAGAUCUAGAUUCUGCAAGAAUCGGUAAACUUGAGGAUAUCAUUACCAACUUAGGUUCCGCAUUUCUUCCAUGAAAAAUACUCCAAAACUCCCCACCAAAACUGCCAAGUUUAUUUAUGUUCCUAAAAAUAAGGGGGAAUCUUCUAGUAAAGGAGACGCGGAUCUCAAAUCCAUAAGUGUUCAUCCAAAUUGUCUCUCUAUCAUUAAGGAACCUUUUGCUACAAAUGAAUUUCUUGAAUUUUUGCCUAAAGGUUUAAGCAUUGCUAAAAAGGGAGAAACCCCUAAAGAUUAUAAGUGCUCUAUUGAGGAAUUGAGUGCCAAAGAUGGCACUACUUAGAUCUAUCUUCGCUUUUAUGCCUAGCUAGGGGCGUUAAACGAUAGCGCUAGUUGGGAGGCAACCCAAUUUUAUUUGUGUUUUUUGUUUUUGUUUCUGUUUAGUAAUAAAUUUUGCAUCUACCUCCUGUUUAGAUGUUUUUUAUGUUUUAAUUAAUGUUUGUGCCAAGUAGAACCUAUAGGACAACCUAUGAUGAUAGUUGAUUUGAUUCUGCUGAAAGAACAGAAACUUUUCACGCACGAAUUUAGUUUUGUUAAAUCACAGGAACGUGAUUUUGUGUUGAUUCUUUUUUCUACUGAUCAACAUACAAAUUUUCCAGGACUGCCUAUUUUGGUAGGAUUUUUAGAGUUCCAGAAGUUUGCGUUAGUUACAGAUUCCUAUAGACUGUUCUGUUUUUAACAGAUUCUGUUUUCGUGUGUUGUUUGCUUAUUUUGAUGCAUCUAUGGCUAGUAAAAUAGUUUAUAAACCAUAGAGAAGUUGGAAUAUAGUAGGUUUAACACCAAAAUAUAUAAAUAAUGAGUUCAUUACAGUACCUUAUGUGGUGGUUUUGUUUUCUUUCACUAACGGAGCUUAUAAGAUUUCCUGUUGAGUUUUGUGUUGUGAAGUUUUCAAGUUUUGGGUAAAGCUUUGAUGGACUAUGGAAUACGGAGUGGCAAGAGCCUAAGCUUGGGGAUGCCCAUGGCACCCCAAGAUACUCAACAAUAGCCAAAAGCCUAAGCUUGGGGAUGCCCCGGGAAGGCAUCCCCUCUUUCGUCUUUGUUCAUUGGUAACUUUACUUGGAGCUAUAUUUUUAUUUGCCACAUGAUAUGUGUUUUGCUUGCAGCGUCGUGUAUUAUAUUAGUCUUUGCUUUUUAGUUUACCACAAUCAUCCUUGCUGUACACACCUUUUGGGAGAAGCCCACUUGACUAGAAUUUGCUAGAAUACUCUAUGUGCUUCACUUAUAUCUUUUGAGAUUGAUAGUUUAUGCUCUAGUGCUUCAUUUAUACCUUUUAGAGCACGACGGUGGCUUAAUUUUGAAGAAAUUGCUAGUAUCUCAUGCUUCACUUAUAUUAUUUUGAGAGUCUUUUAGAACAGCAUGGCAUUUGCUAUGGUUACAGAUUUGGUCCUAGAAUGAUGAGCAUCCAAGUUGGGUAUAAUAAAAACUAUCAUAGGAAGUGAAUUGGAUGCUAUGAUCAAUUUGAUGUUUGAUAAUUGUUUUGAGAUAUAGAGGUAGUAAUGUUAGAGUCAUGCUAGUGGGUAAUUAUGAAAUUGAGAAAUACUUGUGUUGAAGUUGGCAAGUCCCGUAGCAUGCAGUAUGGUAAAAGUUGUGUGACAAAUUUGUUGCAUGAGGUGCUCUUUUGAUUGUCUUCCUUAUGAGUGGAGGUCGGGAUCACGCGAUGGUUAAAUCCUACCAACCCUUCCCCUAGGAGCAUGCGUAGUAGUACUUUGCUUUGAGGGCAAGUAGACUUUUGCAAUAAGUAUACGAGUUCUUUAUGACUAAUGUGAGUCCAUGGAUAUACGCACGCUCAUCCUUCCACUUUGCUAGCCUCUAUUAUACCACGCAACUUUCGCCAGUAUCAUGCACCCAUUAUUUACCUUCCUCAAAACAGCCACCAUACCUACCUAUUAUGGCAUUUCCAUAGCCAUUCCGAGAUAUAUUGCCAUGCAACUUUCCACCGUUUCGUUUAUUAUGACACGUUCCAUCAUUGUCAUAUUGCUCUUUGCAUGAUCAUGUAGUUGACAUCGUAUUUGUGGCAAGGCCACCUUCAUAAUUUUCAUACAUGUCGCUCUUGAUUCACUGCAUAUCCCGAUACACCGCCGGAGGCAUUCAUAUAGAGUCAUAUCUUGUUCUAGCUUUGAGUUGUAAUUCUUGAGUUGUAAAUCAAUAAAAGUGGGAUGAUCUUCAUUAUUAGAGCAUUGUCUCAGUGAGGAAAGGAUGAUGAAGACUAUGAUUCCCCCACAAGUCGGGAUGAGACUUCGGACAUUACAAAAAAAAAAGA
RNAcentral lists this long non-coding RNA (11095 nucleotides) under Triticum aestivum (bread wheat). RNAcentral's name for it is "long non-coding RNA (TAES_LNC022509)". The record is from RNAcentral. Lineage: Eukaryota; Viridiplantae; Streptophyta; Magnoliopsida; Poales; Poaceae.